RNAcentral lists this transfer RNA (66 nucleotides) under Chelatococcus sp. RNAcentral describes it as "tRNA-Ser". The record is from RNAcentral. Lineage: Bacteria; Pseudomonadati; Pseudomonadota; Alphaproteobacteria; Hyphomicrobiales; Chelatococcaceae.
GGCGUAGGACACGGAUACUUCGACUUGUAAUCGAGAGGUCGCCGGUUCGAAUCCGGCCUUUUGCCG